This 465-nucleotide ribosomal RNA is filed under the name Vreelandella stevensii. RNAcentral's name for it is "partial 16S ribosomal RNA". It matches the Rfam family "Bacterial small subunit ribosomal RNA", at positions 338 to 795 of the family's 1533-position model. The record is from RNAcentral. Lineage: Bacteria; Pseudomonadati; Pseudomonadota; Gammaproteobacteria; Oceanospirillales; Halomonadaceae.
CCUACGGGUGGCAGCAGUGGGGAAUAUUGGACAAUGGGGGGAACCCUGAUCCAGCCAUGCCGCGUGUGUGAAGAAGGCCCUCGGGUUGUAAAGCACUUUCAGUGAGGAAGAACGCCUGGUGGUUAAUACCCAUCAGGAAAGACAUCACUCACAGAAGAAGCACCGGCUAACUCCGUGCCAGCAGCCGCGGUAAUACGGAGGGUGCGAGCGUUAAUCGGAAUUACUGGGCGUAAAGCGCGCGUAGGUGGCUUGAUAAGCCGGUUGUGAAAGCCCCGGGCUCAACCUGGGAACGGCAUCCGGAACUGUCAAGCUAGAGUGCAGGAGAGGAAGGUAGAAUUCCCGGUGUAGCGGUGAAAUGCGUAGAGAUCGGGAGGAAUACCAGUGGCGAAGGUGGCCUUCUGGACUGACACUGACACUGAGGUGCGAAAGCGUGGGUAGCAAACAGGAUUAGAUACCCCAGUAGUC